GGGCCCAUAGCUCAGUGGUAGAGC
RNAcentral lists this non-coding RNA (24 nucleotides) under Arabidopsis thaliana (thale cress). Lineage: Eukaryota; Viridiplantae; Streptophyta; Magnoliopsida; Brassicales; Brassicaceae. The record is from RNAcentral.